This 714-nucleotide ribosomal RNA is filed under the name uncultured Bacilli bacterium. Its description in RNAcentral is "bacterial SSU rRNA". It matches the Rfam family "Bacterial small subunit ribosomal RNA", at positions 50 to 745 of the family's 1533-position model. The record is from RNAcentral. Lineage: Bacteria; Bacillati; Bacillota; Bacilli.
AAUACAUGCAAGUCGAACGAGAGCGACCGGUGCUUGCACUGGUCAAUCUAGUGGCGAACGGGUGAGUAACACGUGGGUAACCUGCCCAUCAGAGGGGGAUAACAUCCGGAAACGGAUGCUAAAACCGCAUAGGUCUUCGAGCCGCAUGGCUCGAAGAGGAAAAGAGGCGCAAGCUUCUGCUGAUGGAUGGACCCGCGGUGCAUUAGCUAGUUGGUGAGGUAACGGCUCACCAAGGCCGUGAUGCAUAGCCGACCUGAGAGGGUGAUCGGCCACAUUGGGACUGAGACACGGCCCAAACUCCUACGGGAGGCAGCAGUAGGGAAUCUUCCGCAACGGACGCAAGUCUGACGGAGCAACGCCGCGUGAGUGAAGAAGGUUUUCGGAUCGUAAAACUCUGUUGUUAGAGAAGAACAAGUGCUAGAGUAACUGUUAGCGCCUUGACGGUAUCUAACCAGAAAGCCACGGCUAACUACGUGCCAGCAGCCGCGGUAAUACGUAGGUGGCAAGCGUUGUCCGGAUUUAUUGGGCGUAAAGCGAGCGCAGGCGGUUCCUUAAGUCUGAUGUGAAAGCCCCCGGCUCAACCGGGGAGGGUCAUUGGAAACUGGGGAACUUGAGUGCAGAAGAGGAGAGUGGAAUUCCAUGUGUAGCGGUGAAAUGCGUAGAUAUAUGGAGGAACACCAGUGGCGAAGGCGACUCUCUGGUCUGUAACUGACG